UGACUGUGAUGGUACAGAUCUCUGUGAUGUGAAGCUUCAGAUUGAGCCCUUGAGAUUUCCGAUUCAGAUUAAGCCUGGCAAAUCUCUGGUGCUGAAGUUGGAUGUAUCAGAUGCUGUGGAGGUGUAUUAUAACAGUACAGGUGCAACUGGACCAUCCAGUGGUCACAUCUGUACAGUGGAUGGACGCUCACUACAUUGUAAACAUGACUAUAAACAGAGAGCAUCACUAACCUGUGCUCUUGAGCUGAGAGGAAUGAAGACAUCUGACAGUGGAGUUUAUACUACAAAAGCCAAAAGAACUGAAGAGGUCAUUCACAUCUACACAGUGACCGUGGGGUCAGCAGGUGGAGGUAAAAUAAAGGAUGACCAUCCAGAUCUCUGCACAGAUGAAGGAGCUGCUGUUCCAGUGUGGGUUUUUGCACUGAUGAUGGCUGCACUUUUAACUGUGAUUGUGGGAUUAGCAGUGGUGAUUGUGCUGCUGAGAAGACAACAGCAGCACUGGAUAAGGACUGAAAGGAAGGCCUCAAACUCUGGCCUCAAACUCUGAGCCCAUGGGGGGGGGGGCCCAGAAGCUGGGCCCAGUACAGCUGAGCGGAGUGCUGCAGAUCCCAGGGCAGGCAGUGUGGCCGACACAGACCCUAAUACACAGACACAGGAUGGGGAGGGAGGUAGAGCAGCUGAACCUGCUGUUAGACCCAAUAGUGAGACAGAUGUGGGACUGGAGUGUUCAGAGCCUCAAAGGAGUAAACGUAAUACUAAUGCUCAUGUAGGGGUUGGUGCGGCAGCUAUUGCUGCUAUGGGAUCUGUUUUAGGAGAAUAGAGUAUGGACACAGAAGCUGUGGCUGAGGAGACUGUUUUUAAAGCUCCCUCUGGGAAAAGAAAAAUGAAGUGGGCUAAGACUGGUGACAGUAAAGGGGAGGCACAGCGAGUGGCAGGAGUGCGGAGCGAGAAACAAGGAGAGGAUACUGGUUUCUGUGCAUUGGAUGAUUCUGAAGGAGUGCAUAUACUUGGUUGAAGAUCAGUUUUCUGAUCGCAAGCUGUUUAUUGAGUCAGGUCAAGCAAUUAUGAGGAAUGAAUUAAUGCAUCACGGACUACAUUAACUUCUGUGUGGAUGCCACUGUCCCAACCAGAACUGUUAAAUGUUACCCAAACAACAAGCUGUGGGUAACAAAGGACGUUAAAGCUCUCCUUAACAACAAAAAGAGGGCCUUCAGAGCUGGAGACAGGGAGGAGGCGAGAACGAUCCAGAGGGAACGGAAGACAACUAUCAGGGAGGCUAAGAACAAAUAUAGGAGGAAAAUAUAGUGGAAACUCCAGCAGAACAACAUGAGGGGGGUCUGGAGUGGAAUGAAGACCAUCACCAGCCUCAGGUCCAGCAACAACAGAGGAUUAGAGGGCAGCGUGGACGGGGCCAACAAGCUAAAUUUGUUCUUUAACAGAUUUAACACUGCAGGCUCUGUCCUCCCCCGUCCUGACUCCCCUGCUGCCGGUCCUCAGCAGCCCACUCCACUCCCCCUCCCUCCCCCUCCUGAUAGCCUGCCCCCCUCCUGUGACAGCCCACCUCACACCCUCACCCCUCCCCCACACAUCACCUCUAC
Molecule: long non-coding RNA, 1598 nt
Organism: Colossoma macropomum (tambaqui)
Lineage: Eukaryota; Metazoa; Chordata; Actinopteri; Characiformes; Serrasalmidae
Exons: 3
Source: RefSeq, a predicted model, not a curated record